This 1855-nucleotide unclassified non-coding RNA is filed under the name Haliotis rufescens (red abalone). RNAcentral describes it as "phosphoglucomutase-2-like, transcript variant X3". The record is from RNAcentral. Lineage: Eukaryota; Metazoa; Mollusca; Gastropoda; Lepetellida; Haliotidae.
GCGACCUUCAUUUUUUUCUCUGGCCCGGUUUAGGCUUGUUUCUGAUGAAAGUUAGCGCUACAGCAUGUACAAUUAAAUCAGCCAUACAGUUCGAGAUGGAUGAUCUGGAAACUGGAAAUGCUGACAUUGACGCAAAAGUUGACGAAUGGAUGCGAUGGGAUAGGAAUGAUAAGAAUCGUGCCGAGAUCCGACAACUGGCUUUGGAGAAGAAUGUUGCCGAAUUGGAGAAACGCCUGCUUCAGAGGAUGGAGUUUGGCACAGCAGGUCUUCGGGCGAGGAUGGGAGCUGGCUACUCCAUGAUGAAUGACCUCACGAUCAUCCAAGCAACACAGGGUCUGGUGAAAUACCUUAUAGCGACGGUUCCGAAUGCCAAGAAGAACGGUGUUGUGGUGGGAUACGAUGCCAGACACAACAGUCAGAAAUGGAGUGAGCUGGUUGCAACCAUAUGUAUCAACGAAGGUGUGCCAGUCUACAAGUACUCUAAGAUCUGCCCUACUCCAUAUGUGCCGUAUGCUGUGGUGCACUAUGGAGCUUCAUGUGGGAUCAUGAUCACUGCCUCUCACAACCCAAAGGAAGACAAUGGCUAUAAAAUAUACUGGACAAAUGGAGCUCAGAUCAUUCCUCCGAUCGACAAGGGUAUUGCGACGUCCAUCAGAGAACAUCUUGAGCCUUUCCCCACGUCCUGGGAUACAUCCUGUGUCGCUGACAGCAAGCUGUUGAGGGAUCCCUACGAUGAGAUAUUUGAUCUGUACAACAAAGAUCUCCAUCAUCUCUGUCACUUCAGAGAUCAGAAUCUGUCCUCCAAAGUGACCUUCACCUAUACUGCCAUGCAUGGUGUGGGGUACAAGUUUACGUGCGAGUCUUUGCAGAGGUUCGGCUUUCCUCUUCCUGUACCAGUCAAAGAACAGGUGGUGCCAGAUCCUGAGUUCCCCACAGUGAAAUACCCCAACCCAGAGGAGGGCAAGGGAGCACUGAAAUUGUCAAUGCAGACGGCAGAUGCUAAUGGAAGCGUGGUAAUCCUGGCCAAUGACCCUGACGCAGACAGACUGGCAGUAGCUGAGAAACAGCCCAGUGGUGAGUGGAGGAUCUUCACUGGGAAUGAGAUAGGGGCCCUGUUGGGGUGGUGGAGUCUCUUCACCUUCAGAAAAAGUCGCCCAGAUGUCAAAGACAGUGAUAUUUGUAUGGUGGCCAGCACAGUUUCCUCCAAGAUCCUGCAGACCAUUGCCAAGAAGGAAGGGUGUAUCUUUGAUGAGACUUCGACGGGCUUCAAGUGGAUUGCUAACAAGGCUUGUGAUAGACAGAAUGAUGGGAAACAUGUCAUCUUUGCAUUUGAAGAGGCUAUUGGGUUCAUGUGCGGCACCAAGGUUCUGGACAAAGAUGGAGUGAGUGCAGCAGCAGUGAUGGCAGAGAUGGCAACAUUCCUGUACAACGACAACUCAACUCUGGCUAAACAGCUGGAAGAGAUUUUCAACAAAUACGGUUAUCACUUGUCACGAAAUUCCUACUUCCGGUGUGAUGACCCAGCUAUUACUGCCAAGAUGUUUCAGAAUCUCCGUAACUUCGAUGGUCCAGGAAAGUAUCCAUCAAGUUGUGGCCCUUACAAGAUCAAAUAUGUUCGAGAUCUGACAGGCAAAGGCUACGACAACAGUCAGCCAGAUAAUGUUCCAGUGAGUUGAACUCAGAAAUAUGACAGGAAGUUCUUGUUCUUGUAAGACCUACUCAAGGCAUGCUUCCCAAAUUCUACCUACAAGCAAGUCCUCAGAGAUGAUCACAUUCACAUUUGAAAAUGGCUGUGUGGCUACCCUGCGGACAAGCGGCACCGAACCCAAAAUCAAGUACUACACUGAACACAAGC